Molecule: long non-coding RNA, 1800 nt
Organism: Callithrix jacchus (white-tufted-ear marmoset)
Lineage: Eukaryota; Metazoa; Chordata; Mammalia; Primates; Cebidae
Source: Ensembl
AUGGUGGGCUCAUCCCAGAAUGUGGAGCCCUUUGCAGGCGCUCCCUCCACGCAGGAAGGAAGCGAGGGGGCUGAGGAGGGAGGAAAGCAGACUGAAGGACAGCAUUCUCUUUACAAUCCUGAGUUCAUCAUAAUGAUUGUUUUUAAAGACCUCACGGAGUUGGAGGUUUUCAUGGCCACAGUCCAUCCGCAUGUGCUGAGGUCAGAGUCACAGCUGACCAGUGAAGUCAGAAUUUCUGAAUGUAUGACCUGCUUCAUCUCCCCAGGUAAGCUGGACGGGCAGUCAGGGCUGGACAUCCUGCUCUGAGGCGCCAACCCACCUAGCAUCAGGCCAGGUGGGCCUCCCACACCAUAUAGUAACUGUGAUUGUAGGGAGAUGGACUUGCACUGGGCAGCUCUGAUGCUGCAUUGAACAUUACAGUGAAGCCAGGUACCGUGGCUCACGCCUGGAAUCCCAGCACUUUGGGUGGCUGAGGCAGGCAGAUCACUUGAGGUCAGGAGUUCCAGACCAGCCUGGCCAACAUAGUGAAAUCCUGUCUGUACUAAAAAUACAAAAAUGAGCUGGUUGUGGUGGUGUGCGCCUGUGAUCCCAGCUACUCAGGAGCUGAGGCAGGAGAGUCACUUGAACCCGGGAGGCAGAGGUUGCACUGAGCUGAGAUCACCACUGCACUCCAGCCUGGGUGACAGAGCGAGACUCUAUCUCAAAAAAAAAGAAAAAGAAAGAAAGAAAGAGAAAGUUACGGUGUAGGUGUGGGGCCUUGCUAAGGUCAGAAUCCCCAUGUGAACGCUGAACCAUCGAACGGGGAGGUGAAACCGGGACGGACGGACCCAUGCUGCGUGUGUGAGUGCAAACACCCUUUAAUCCAGUCUCGUACAACAGGAUAGCAACACCGAUGGAUUAUGCAAAAAAUAGUUGUAGUUCAAUGAAAGCCUGAUUUAUAAGAAAUGGAGUAACAGGGGAAUAGGAAAUGAAACUUACUGCAUUUCUCAUACAAGCAAAAAUGUUUCCCGGAAUCCUCUUGGCACCAGCCCCAGGUGUGUCUUGCCAACUGAAUCUGCUCUGAAUUUAAGGUACAAAGUUUGCGUUAUGGCGUAUGGACAGACGGGCAGCGGGAAGACCUACACCUUGCUGGGAUCCCAUGAGGAUGAUAACCCUGUCCUGCCGCUCCUCCCACAGAGGGACUUAGGAAUUAUCCCCAGAGCGGCUGAGGAGCUCUCCAGGUACCACUGAUGGUGAUGAGUGGGGCAGAGAACUAUGGCACAGAAGCCAGGCCGGCGGCACCUUGGCCAUUCAAAGAAACUGCUCCAACCCCAUAAUCUCCCCAGAGAUUAGCUACAUUCAACACUAGCAAGCGAUUCCGGACUUCUGGGCAUUAUUCCUACAAAUUCCUGUGAUGAAAUUACGUUGAAAUUCUAUCAUGAAGACAAACUUUUUUUAUUUUUCAAUUUUUUUUGAGACAAGGUCUCGCUUUAUCCCCCAGGCUGGAGUGCAGUGGCACAAUCUCGGCUCACUGCAACUUCCACCUCCUGGGUUUAAGAGAUUCUCCUGCCUGAGCCUCCUGGGUAGCUGUAAUUAUAGGCGUACGCCACCACACCUGACUAAUUUUUGUAAUUUUAGUAGAGAUGGAGUUUCAUCAUGUUGACCAGGCUAGUCUCGAACUCCUGACAUCAGGUGAGCCACCGCCUCAGCUUCCCAGAGUGCUGGGAUUACAGGCGUGAGCCACUGUGCCUGGCCAAGGCAAAACUUCUUGAAAGAGAUCCCGAGAUGGUGGGGAAUGGUGGGGGGGGAUGGUGGGGGGUG